CACCCAGAGGCUGAUGCUCACCAUGGGGCGCCUGCAACUGGUUGUGUUGGGCCUCACCUGCUGCUGGGCAGUGGCGAGUGCCGCGAAGACCCCAUGCUGCACUAUGUGGGCUUCGUCCCUGUCAUUGAUGGAGACUUCAUCCCCGCUGACCCGAUCAACCUGUACGCCAACGCCGCCGACAUCGACUAUAUAGCAGGCACCAACAACAUGGACGGCCACAUCUUCGCCAGCAUCGACAUGCCUGCCAUCAACAAGGGCAACAAGAAAGUCACGGAGGAGGACUUCUACAAGCUGGUCAGUGAGUUCACAAUCACCAAGGGGCUCAGAGGCGCCAAGACGACCUUUGAUGUCUACACCGAGUCCUGGGCCCAGGACCCAUCCCAGGAGAAUAAGAAGAAGACUGUGGUGGACUUUGAGACCGAUGUCCUCUUCCUGGUGCCCACCGAGAUUGCCCUAGCCCAGCACAGAGCCAAUGCCAAGAGUGCCAAGACCUACGCCUACCUGUUUUCCCAUCCCUCUCGGAUGCCCGUCUACCCCAAAUGGGUGGGGGCCGACCAUAGAGAUGAGAUCCAGUACAUCUUUGGGGAGCCCUUUGCCACCCCACUCCGGGCUACCGGCCCCAAGACAGGACAGUCUCUAAGGCUAUGACCGCCUACUGGACCAACUUUGCCAAAACAGGGGACCCCAACAUGGGCCACUCGGCUGUGCCCACACACUGGGAACCCUACACUACGGAAAACAGCGGCUACCUGGAGAUCACCAAGAAGAUGGGCAGCAGCUCCAUGAAGCGGAGCCUGAGAACCAACUUCCUGCGCUACUGGACCCUCACCUAUCUGGCGCUGCCCACAGUGACCGACCAGGAGGCCAGUUCCAUGCCCUCCACAGGGGACUCUGAGGCCACUCCCGUCUCCCCCGACAGGCAACUCCGAGUCUGCCCCCGUCCCUGCAACGGGUGACUCUCAGGAUGCCCCUGUGCCCCUCACAAGUGACUCUGAGGCUGCCCCCGUGUCCCCCUCAGGUGACUCUGAGGCUCCCCCGUACCCCCUACGGGUGACUCUGAGGCCCGUGCCCACCUUGGGUGACACUGAGGCUGCCCCUGUGUCCCCCACAGAUGACUCCGAGGAAGCUCAGAUGCUGCAGUCAUUAGUUUCUAGUGUCCCAUCAGCCUUGGUCUCAAGAGGCCGAGAGGGUGCAACCCCAGGGGCUCCCCUCCCAUCUUGAGCUCUUCCUGAAUAAAACCUCAUUCCCC
RNAcentral lists this long non-coding RNA (1249 nucleotides) under Homo sapiens (human). Its description in RNAcentral is "novel transcript". The record is from RNAcentral. Lineage: Eukaryota; Metazoa; Chordata; Mammalia; Primates; Hominidae.